This is a long non-coding RNA of Malurus melanocephalus (red-backed fairy wren), 2333 nucleotides long. RefSeq lists it as uncharacterized. Lineage: Eukaryota; Metazoa; Chordata; Aves; Passeriformes; Maluridae. The record is from RefSeq and is a predicted model, not a curated record. The transcript is spliced from 2 exons.
CUGGAGGCCGCCAUGAUGGACCUGCUGGCCGUGCUCAGGGCUCAGCCCGGCCACGCCGGCGCCCGGCGGGAGCUGCGGAGAGUCCGGGGAGCGGCCAGGGACAGGGACGCGAGAUUGGCCAGGAGAUUGGGCCGGCUGUUCGCUUAAUUAGGGGUAAUUAGGGGUAAUUAAUUAGGGGGAGUUAGGGUUAGUGAGGGGAUUGGACCUGGACGCCACCAUGAUGGUCCUGGAGGCCGCCAUGAUGGAUCUCUGGCCGUGCUCCGGGCCCACUCCAGCCACGAUGUGCAAUUGGCCUGGCGGCUGGGCCGGCUCUUUGCUUAAUUAGGGGUAAUUAGGGUAAUUAGGGGUAAUUAAUUACAGGGAUUAGGGUUAGUGAGGGGAAUGGACCUGGAGGGCACCAUGAUGGACCUGGAGGCCGCCAUGAUGGACCUGCUGGCCGUGCUCAGGGCUCAGCCCGGCCACGCCCGCGCCCGGCGGGAGCUGCGCAGAGUCCGGGGGGCGGCCAGGGACAGGGACGCACGAUUGGCCAGGAGAUUGGGCAGGCUGUUCGCUUAAUUAGGGUAAUUAGGGGUAAUUAAUUAGGGGCAGGUAGGGUUGUGAGGGGAAUGGGCCUGGAGGCCGCCAUGAUGGAUUUACAGGCCAAAGUCGGGGCCCAGCCUGGCCAUGACAGGGACGCACGAUUGGCCCAUUGGCUAGUCUGGCUCUUUGCUUAAUUAGGGGUAAUUAGGGGUAAUUAGUGAAAUUUGGGUAAUUAAUUACAGGGAUUAGGGUUAGUGAGGGGAUUGGACCUGGACGCCACCAUGAUGGACCUGGAGGCCGCCAUGAUGGACCUGCUGGCCGUGCUCAGGGCUCAGCCCAGCCACACCGGCGCCCGGCGGGAGCUGCGCAGAGUCCGGGGGGCGGCCAGGGACAGGGACGCGAGAUUGGCCAGGAGAUUGGGCAGGCUGUUCGCUUAAUUAGGGGUAAUUAAUUAGGGGCAGGUAGGGUUGUGAGGGGAAUGGGCCUGGAGGCCGCCAUGUUGGACCUGGAGGCCGCCAUGAUGGAUCUACAGGCCAAAGUCGGGGCCCAGCCUGGCCAUGACAGGGACGCACGAUUGGCCCAUUGGCUAGUCCGGCUCUUUGCUUAAUUAGGGGUAAUUAGGGUAAUUAGAGGUAAAUAAUUACAGGGAUUAGGGUUAGUGAGGGGAUUGGACCUGGACACCACCAUGAUGGUCAUGGAGGCCGCCAUGAUGGAUUUACAGGCCGUGCUCCAGGCCUGGUCUAGCUGUGACCAGGAUGCGCGAUUGGCCCAAGGGCUGGGCCGGCGUUUCACUUAAUUAGGGGUAAUUAGGGUAAUUAGGGGUAAUUAAUUACAGGGAUUAGGGUUAGUAAGGGGAGUAGGCUGGAUGCCACCAUGAUGGACCUGGAGGCCGCCAUGAUGGAUUUACAGGCCAAGCUCAGCGCCCAGUCCGACCACAACAGGGACACAGAAUCGGCCUGGUGGCUGGGCUGGCUCUUUGCUUAAUCAGGGGUAAUUAGGGGUAAUUAAUUAUGGGGAGUUAGGGUUAGUGAGGGGAAUGGGCCUGGAGGCCGCCAUGAUGGGCCUGGAGGCCGCCAUGAUGGAUUUACAGGCCGAGCUCAGGGCUCAGCCCGACCACAACAGGGACACAGAAUCGGCCUGGUGGCUGGGCCAGCUCUUUGCUUAAUUAAUGGUAAUUAGGGUAAUUAGGGGUGAUUAAUUACAGGGAUUAGGGUUAGUAAGGGGAGUAGGCUGGAUGCCACCAUGAUGGACCUGGAGGCCGCCAUGAUGGAUUUACAGGCCAAGCUCAGGGCCCAGCCCGACCACAACAGGGACACAGAAUCGGCCUGGUGGCUGGGCCAGCUCUUUGCUUAAUUAAUGGUAAUUAGGGUAAUUAGGGGUGAUUAAUUAUGGGGAGUUAGGGUUAGUGAGGGGAUGGACCUGGACGCCACCAUGAUGGACCUGGAGGCCGCCAUGAUGGAUCUGCUGGCUGCACUCAGAGCCCCGUGGCCUUGCUGGCUCUUUGCUUAAUUAGGGGUAAUUAGAGGUAAUUAGGGGUAAUUAAUUAGGGGGAGUUAGGGUUAAUGAGGGGAGUUGGCCUGGAGGCCGCCAUGAUGGAUCUGCAGGCCACACUCAAGGCCCAGCUCGCCCCUGACCCGGACGCACGAUUGGCUCAAGGGCUGGGCCGGCUCUUUGCUUAAUUAGGGGUAAUUAACUACGAUGAAAUUAGCAUUAAUGAGCGGAGUGUGUUUGGUUUUCUUUGUGAUCGGGUGCCUCAUUAAUUAAUGUCAAUUAUACGUUUGUUAUUUAACGCUAAUUAUAGGUUUGAUAGCGAU